This 479-nucleotide ribosomal RNA is filed under the name uncultured bacterium. Its description in RNAcentral is "bacterial SSU rRNA". It matches the Rfam family "Bacterial small subunit ribosomal RNA", at positions 28 to 507 of the family's 1533-position model. The record is from RNAcentral.
GAUGAACGCUGGCGGCGUGCCUAACACAUUCAAGGUCGAACGGAGUUAUUACGAAUGAAGUUUUCGGAUGGAUUUGUUUUAACUUAGUGGCGGACGGGUGAGUAACGCGUGAGCAACCUGCCUUUGCAUUCGGGAUAACAGCUGGAAACGACUGCUAAUACCGAAUAACGUACAUUGAUUGCAUGUUUAAUGUACCAAAGAUCCGCUGUAAGAUGGGCUCGCGUCCGAUUAGGUAGUUGGUGAGGUAACGGCUCACCAAGCCUACGAUCGGUAGCCGGACUGAGAGGUCGAACGGCCACAUUGGAACUGAGAAACGGUCCAGACUCCUACGGGAGGCAGCAGUGGGGAAUAUUGGGCAAUGGGCGCAAGCCUGACCCAGCGACGCCGCGUGAGGGAAGAAGGUCUUCGGAUUGUAAACCUUUGUCAACAGGGACGAAGAAAUGACGGUACCUGUGAAGGAAGCCACGGCUAACUACGUG